Helianthus annuus (common sunflower) is the source of this 2504-nucleotide long non-coding RNA. RefSeq lists it as uncharacterized. The record is from RefSeq and is a predicted model, not a curated record. Lineage: Eukaryota; Viridiplantae; Streptophyta; Magnoliopsida; Asterales; Asteraceae. The transcript is spliced from 2 exons.
CCCAAAACUGUUUUUAUCUCCCUCUCAUUCGUAUAUCUAAAUCUAGGUUUGUCCAGCAAAAGGGUAUAUGGAAUUGAGAAAAUGCCAUCGGCUCCUUCCUUGUGACGGCGUCAAUCUGUCUAGCGGUCACUUUUUCUCGCCUGCUCUGGCCAAUUUCUCAAUCGUAUCUUGUUCGCUUUACAUUCUCAUUCUGGUAUGUGAGUGAAUUAGUACUUUUCUUCACUUUCCAAUUUCACAGAUUUUAUGCCUUACUCUCGUUUCUUUUAUAGAUGUUGAAUUUAAGAGAGCAUUUUUGGUGUGUUUUCAAUUGCAUCUUUAUCAUACUAUAAUGUAUGUGCAUAUCUGUCGUUAUAUGUGUGGUCAUUGUAUAUUUUUACAUAUCGAAUACAAAUUUGACGUUAUUUUGUACAGAGAUAGGGGAAUGAAAGCAUCAUAUUGUUUCUACAAAGGAGAAAGGAACGAAAGUAUUCUGUUCCUUUCUUAAUUCAAAGCUUUCAUUCCUAGUAUUGAAAUUUCUUACAUGGUAAGAUUAACAUAAUACUCCUAUAUACAUGUGUGUGUAUGCUGAACAAAAGAAAUAUCUAUAAUUUGUUUUGCAUAUUAGGACUCGAUGGAUGAUUUGAACCAUAGUUACCUAAUUUGCUCAAAAUCUGGCGAAUUUCGUAUUGGUACGUUUGUUACCAUACUGAAUUCGUAUACGAAUUAAUUCGGUACAAUCCGGUGUAUUCUAGUGUUCAAUUCGAUGUAUUCUACCGUUCAAUUCGGUGAAUUAUUAAGGUUCAAUUCAGCGAAAUUCGUUUUCUGAAACAGAGUAUUCUGGAUUUCAAUGUAGCAAAUUCCGAUUUCAUGUAUACGGAUUUUUAUGUUCUAUACGUAUUAGGGUUGGAAACGGCAGGAAUACGUCUCUUAUACGUACUUGGCGGGAUUGUGAAAAAGCGGGAAACAACCUUCCUAGAUUUCGUAUGGUCGUUUCCGUAAUUCUUAUCAAUUACCAAAACCGAGAAUCAAUAUAUUAUAUAUACCUGCUGAUUUCAUCUUCAAUCUCACACUUUCAAUUACACAUCUUCAAAUCCUUAUCUAUUACUUCAAAGUUCAAUGGCUUUUGGUAAGAAAAAAGAGUUAUCAUGGUGAUCAUUUGGAUUUAUGAAAUUAGUAACUUUUGCUUUAAUUUGUGUAUGCCGAAUCGGACGUAAUAGUACACCGAACCGAAUCGUACCAAAAUGAACCUACCCCCUCCGAACCAAAGUCACCCCAACUAGCGAAUCGCAAACCCGGACCGCGUACCCGAACCGGAGCGAACUGCGCAUUAGGUGACUAUGGUAUGAACGGCGACUCUUGUGGACAAUUAACAGCCAUGAAUCAUAUAUGAAGAAAAUGGUUGAAUAGGACAUAGAUAUGGCUCCUUGAUGGAAUACGCAGAUUUUCAAAGCAAGGUGCAUAUGGAAAGGCUAUUUCAAUUGGUAAACUUCAUCCUACCUUUAAUGGAAAGUCGAGACUAUUCACCAAACCAGGUUUGUUAAAAAUCGUACAUUUCUAUUAGUAAGUAGUUCGAAGCCAACCUCCCACUUACGCCAUAUGUAGUCGUCAUGAGAGAUUAAAAGCUUAGUAAAUCGAAUUUCUUCUUGUAGUUCAUUGUUUGAGUUGGUUUGAUAAAUAUAUAUGUUUUAGAUGUAUUAUUUUUUUUUGUUUAGAUUGCGCUUGAUUUUGACAUACUUAAUCGAAGAAAUUAAUUUAAGGGCUCGUUUUUUUGUUGUGUUAGUAGAAAAAAAUUCUAUACAAGGUCCCAUUUUUACUAGUCACAUAGUGCAUUUUAGUUUUAGAGAUGGUCUGGUGCCUUGUUAUAACAUUAUCCAUGUUUCAUGCAUUAGAUUAAUAUGGUUUUGAUGAAAGCUCUUAUCACCAACUUACAUGAAAACAGACAUGCCAGUUAGCAUUCACCCAUAGCAUGGUUUUCGAUAUAGAAGAUUAUUUUGACAAUAUUUUCUUCCUAUUUUCUUAUAAAUAUUGCAAGAAUAAAGGAGAACUACAAUCCUAUAGAGGAUGGCAGCAUUACUACAUAUUCUUUUAUGGUUAUAAUGAAAAAGAGAACUAUGGAUACCGCCAACUUUUUGGAAGAGUUGUUAAAAAUACAUUGAUAAAAAAAGUAGAUGGUUUUUGCACAUCAUACAUGAUUACGAAGGGACUUGAAGAAUCAGUCAACGCAAACAUGUAAGUUGAGAAACUAGUUGCUGGAAAUGCGUAAAAGAUAUCGAAGAUGAUCAUGAAAGGAAAAUUUAACGAGCACAAAGCUAUGCAAAGAUAAUGAUAACUUGGACAAAACUUGGAAUGUAUGGAGCAAAAUGUUAUGAAAGAACUACCCGUUGAAGAUCAAGAUGAGUUCAAUGUUUUUAUUUCUUUUUGUUACUGUAAUUGACCAAUUGUGUUAACUAGAUAUGUGAGUUUGGACGAGUAUGUAAAGGUGCACCAUUUGACUAUUUACUGAUAUAUAUGUUGUUUUUGUGUAA